This 253-nucleotide ribosomal RNA is filed under the name uncultured bacterium. RNAcentral describes it as "partial 16S ribosomal RNA". It matches the Rfam family "Bacterial small subunit ribosomal RNA", at positions 524 to 776 of the family's 1533-position model. The record is from RNAcentral.
UACGUAGGGCCCGAGCGUUGUCCGGAAUUAUUGGGCGUAAAGAGCUCGUAGGCGGUUUGUCGCGUCUGCUGUGAAAUCCCGAGGCUCAACCUCGGGUCUGCAGUGGGUACGGGCAGACUGGAGUGCGGUAGGGGAGAAUGGAAUUCCUGGUGUAGCGGUGGAAUGCGCAGAUAUCAGGAGGAACACCGGUGGCGAAGGCGGGUCUCUGGGCCGAUACUGACGCUGAGGAGCGAAAGCGUGGGGAGCGAACAGG